This 464-nucleotide ribosomal RNA is filed under the name uncultured bacterium. RNAcentral's name for it is "partial 16S ribosomal RNA". It matches the Rfam family "Bacterial small subunit ribosomal RNA", at positions 339 to 795 of the family's 1533-position model. The record is from RNAcentral.
CUACGGGGGGCAGCAGUGGGGAAUAUUGCACAAUGGGCGCAAGCCUGAUGCAGCCAUGCCGCGUGUAUGAAGAAGGCCUUCGGGUUGUAAAGUACUUUCAGCGGGGAGGAAGGGAGUAAAGUUAAUACCUUUGCUCAUUGACGUUACCCGCAGAAGAAGCACCGGCUAACUCCGUGCCAGCAGCCGCGGUAAUACGGAGGGGGCAAGCGUGAUCGGAAUUACUGGGCGUAAAGCGCACGCAGGCGGUUUGUUAAGUCAGAUGUGAAAUCCCCGGGCUCAACCUGGGAACUGCAUCUGGAUACUGGCAAGCUUGAGUCUCGUAGAGGGGGGUAGAAUUCCAGGUGUAGCGGUGAAAUGCGUAGAGAUCUGGAGGAAUACCGGUGGCGAAGGCGGCCCCCUGGACGAAGACUGACGCUCAGGUGCGAAAGCGUGGGGAGCAAACAGGAUUAGAUACCCGCGUAGUC